GUGGGUAUAGCUCAGCUGGUUAGAGCACCAGGUUGUGGCCCUGGGGGCCGAGGGUUCAAGUCCCUCUACUCACC
RNAcentral lists this transfer RNA (74 nucleotides) under Ignavibacteriales bacterium. RNAcentral's name for it is "tRNA-His". It matches the Rfam family "tRNA". From Rfam's summary of the family: Transfer RNA (tRNA) molecules are approximately 80 nucleotides in length. Their secondary structure includes four short double-helical elements and three loops (D, anti-codon, and T loops). Further hydrogen bonds mediate the characteristic L-shaped molecular structure. tRNAs have two regions of fundamental functional importance: the anti-codon, which is responsible for specific mRNA codon recognition, and the 3' end, to which the tRNAs corresponding amino acid is attached (by aminoacyl-tRNA synthetases). tRNAs cope with the degeneracy of the genetic code in two manners: having more than one tRNA (with a specific anti-codon) for a particular amino acid; and 'wobble' base-pairing, i.e. permitting non-standard base-pairing at the 3rd anti-codon position. RNAcentral also lists the same sequence under 1 other name. The record is from RNAcentral. Lineage: Bacteria; Pseudomonadati; Ignavibacteriota; Ignavibacteria; Ignavibacteriales.